Molecule: small nuclear RNA, 107 nt
Organism: Suricata suricatta (meerkat)
Lineage: Eukaryota; Metazoa; Chordata; Mammalia; Carnivora; Herpestidae
Source: Ensembl
GUGCUCGCUUCGGCAGCACAUAUACUAAAAUUGGAAUGAUACAGAGAAGAUUAGCAUGGCCCCUGCGCGGGGAUGACACUCAAAUUGGUGAAGCAUUCCAUAUUUUU